CCCUUAGACGUCCUGGGCCGCACGCGUGCUACACUGACGCAUACAGCGAGCACUUUCCAGUUCCGAGAGGCUACUGGUAAUCAUCAAUAUGCGUCGUGAUGGGGAUAGAUCUUUGGAAUUCUGGAUCUUGAACGAGGAAUGCCUAGUAAUCGCAGGUCAUUAGCCUGCGAUGAUUAAGUCCCUGCCCUUUGUACACACCGCCCGUCGCUACUACCGAUUUCGAGUGGUCAGGUGAAUCUUUCGGACUGUGGGCGCCCUUGAGGUGUUCGCGGAAAGUCAGGUAAAUCUUAUCACUUAGAGGAAGUAAAAGUCGUAACA
Molecule: ribosomal RNA, 318 nt
Filed under: uncultured eukaryote
Lineage: Eukaryota
Description: partial 18S ribosomal RNA
Rfam family: Eukaryotic small subunit ribosomal RNA
Source: RNAcentral